This 73-nucleotide transfer RNA is filed under the name Camelus ferus (Wild Bactrian camel). It matches the Rfam family "tRNA". From Rfam's summary of the family: Transfer RNA (tRNA) molecules are approximately 80 nucleotides in length. Their secondary structure includes four short double-helical elements and three loops (D, anti-codon, and T loops). Lineage: Eukaryota; Metazoa; Chordata; Mammalia; Artiodactyla; Camelidae. The record is from Rfam by way of RNAcentral.
UGAGGUAUAGUUCAAGUGGUACAGCACGUGCUUGGCAUACACAAGGUCCUGGGUUCAACCCCCAGUACCUCCU